UAAUUUUCCAAACUUUGGAGGAGCCAUGUAAUCCUGCCUCUGAUUUCAAAAAGAGAAUAAAAUUGCAGAUGCGUCAAACAUAAAACAAAUAAAGAUCAACCAUGAGCUCUUCCUUAUGAGUUCAUCUCCAUUUUCUAGGUGAAUGGUGACGUAUAUAUAGAGAAAGAAAAAAACUAAUCAGAGCAGUUUUUGCAUGGAAAUAAAAUGGGCAGUGGUAGAGUUUUUAUACAUGGAAAGAAUUAAACAAAUAAAUAUUUCUGCUGCAGAAUCGUGCUGCAAUUAAUGGAGAUUUGCAUUCUCUUCUUCUCUUAGUAUCUG
This 318-nucleotide unclassified non-coding RNA is filed under the name Hevea brasiliensis (rubber tree). The record is from RNAcentral. Lineage: Eukaryota; Viridiplantae; Streptophyta; Magnoliopsida; Malpighiales; Euphorbiaceae.